Molecule: long non-coding RNA, 1365 nt
Filed under: Dromaius novaehollandiae (emu)
Lineage: Eukaryota; Metazoa; Chordata; Aves; Casuariiformes; Dromaiidae
Description: lncRNA (ENSDNVG00000001764.1)
Source: RNAcentral
GGGCACCGCGCAGCGCCCGGCGGCUCGACCCCGGCGGGAGCGCGGAGCGGCGGGCUGACCUCGGCUGCGGCGGCGGGGCCGGGCCCGGGGGCAGGGAGGGAUGGAGGGAGGCAGGGAGGGAUGGAGGGAGGCAGGGAGCGAGCGGCGGCGCGGGCGGGCGCCGGGCUCCGGGCGCGGCUCGGCGGCGGCGGCGAGCUGGGCUUCCCGGAGAGGGACUUUUCUGCGGCUUCCCGGGGCGAGGCGGGAAGGCGGCUCUGGCCCCCUCGGCACCGCGGCUCCUGCCUGCGAUCGCCUGGAAAACAGACAAAGCGAGGGAAUUAGAGAGGCAGGCGGGGAGGGAACAGCGCCGGAGCCCGCACGCCGCGCAGUGCCAAUGACAAAAGGGAGAGAGGGGGGAGCCAAGCAGGGGAAGGAGGGAGCGAGGGGAGGGGUAGGGGAAGGGGGAAAGGGGAUGACACGGACUAAGGCAGAACUGGGGCCGGCGAGACCCCAGCCUCCGCCGCUGCCUGCUCCGCGGCCGGGGAGGGACGGGCUUUUCGCCCAUCACCGGGGCGCCGGGGGAGCGGGUCGCUGCGGCACGAUGGGGAGCUGGCCGCCCGCGGGGAAUCGCACAGGGCAGCUUUUCACCCGCCGCUGCAAAAACGCCCCAGGAAAGCAAAAACAGGAGAAAGGCUUUAAAAAAAAAAGAGAGAGAGAGAGAGAGAGAGAGAGAGAGAGAAAAGAAAAAAAGGAAGAAAAGGAAAGCGGAGGAGGGAGGGGGAGAGAAACCCUGUCGUUUCCCCAUCUUUCUCCUCUUGAGGAGCGUAUGAGAGCAGAGAGAGAAAUCCACGGGGAGAAAUCCAAGCAUCCAAAUAAAAAUAAGAAUAACGAUCCCACUCCAAAUACUAAAAAAAUAGUAAUAAAAAUAAAAUGGUCAAACCUGCCGAGGGCUGCCGGCUCCUCUGCCUGCCGGAGCUGCAGAGCGAACGGGAGGAGGAGAGCCCAGCUAGCUGCUUUCGGGGGGUAGGAAGCGGUCCGGUCUCUCCCCCUCGCUUGCUGCUCCAGAAUUAGGGAUUAAUGCCUCUCCAGCCAAACAAAUAAGGCAUCUGCCUUCAGUACAAGAGGAUUACACGGGGCUGCUGACGUCACCAGCCAGGCAGAUGUUGGCUCCCAAAGUCCUGAUCAUCUCCCAUGUCCUUGAAACCCGGCACAAUCCCAGCCCCGCGCAGCCCCAGCCGGGUCCCUGCAAGGGCGCGGGGGCCCUGCUCGGAGGGGACCCCGCCGAGGCGCUCUCUCCCAAAACGUCCUCUCCCAACUUGGGGAGAGAAAGGUGUGAAAAGCCGAGCCCGGCAGAAAGUUCAACCCUCCCCCUUCCCCCCGCUUCCU